AAUAUAUUUAGUUCAAAUUCUUCUCAGUUUCUUUUCGAUUCAGUUCGUCAUAUAUACCCUGCGAUUUUUUUCCUACAUUACAGAAUUAGUAGCUUUUCAAAAUAUUCACUCGUAGAUAGAGGCAUAUAUGUCAAAUAAGACAACUGGUAAAGUAAAAUGGUUUAAUGAAUUAAAAGGUUUUGGUUUUAUCGCACCUGAUAAUGGUAGCCAAGAUGUUUUUGUUCAUUUCAAAUCAAUCGAAAUUGAAGGUUUUAAAACUCUGACUGAAGGUCAAAGUGUUGCUUUCAAUAUCGAAAAGGGCGCUAAAGGCCCUCAAGCAAAUAGCGUUACACUCGCGUAAGCUUUAUUUGCUAAGGUGCUUUUACAUUAAAAGCACCUCACA
This 382-nucleotide small RNA is filed under the name Pseudoalteromonas phenolica. RNAcentral describes it as "cspA thermoregulator". It matches the Rfam family "cspA thermoregulator". Lineage: Bacteria; Pseudomonadati; Pseudomonadota; Gammaproteobacteria; Alteromonadales; Pseudoalteromonadaceae. The record is from Rfam by way of RNAcentral.